UACGAACUGUGCAAACGUUAUUCGGAAUCACUGGGCUUACAGGGUGCGUAGGCGGCUUGUUAAGUAGGGUGUGAAAGCCCCCGGCUCAACCGGGGAAUGGCGCCCUAAACUGGCGAGCUGGAGUGAGAUAGGGGUGUGCGGAACUUCCGGUGGAGCGGUGAAAUGUGUUGAUAUCGGAAGGAACGCCGGUGGCGAAAGCGGCACACUGGAUCUCAACUGACGCUGAGGCACGAAAGCCAGGGGAGCGAACGGG
This 253-nucleotide ribosomal RNA is filed under the name uncultured bacterium. Its description in RNAcentral is "partial 16S ribosomal RNA". It matches the Rfam family "Bacterial small subunit ribosomal RNA", at positions 524 to 776 of the family's 1533-position model. The record is from RNAcentral.